CAAUCUUUUCGUGAUCGGUUAGUUGGACUUACGAAAAACACCAAUAUGUUGCACCGGAUAUAGUUUCUUACUUUUUCAUUUUGUUCCUUGUCAGCAGUAAAUUUUGUACGACAAUUAUGUAUGUAAAUUCAACGGAUGCUAAAAUUUGAAGCUGACUAAUUUGAUGCAACGCCAUAUUGAACAAUCCCACUCAAAUGAGAAAUUUGUUGUAAAGAAGUGAUAUAUUUAACCGUAAUCAGGAGUUUUGGAGUGCAUUAGAAGAAUAUUACUCUAAGUCCUAUAGACACGAACCACAGAUCUUCAGAAACGAUAUUCAAAUCUCACAGUUUGACACAAGCGCGUGUUAAACAACACAAAAAUUACUUUCUACACUUGGCCUUGCGCAGUUGAAACGGAGCGGCUUUGUUAAAGCACGAUCGUAAACACCUAUGCGAACUUUUCCACGAAAAUUAAUCAAUAUCCAUUGCGUCAUCUUGGCAUAAUAUAAAGUUCAAUAUGGCGGCAUAUUGUCUUUAUAUUGCGUCAAAUUAUAUUUGCAUACGCGACCCGUGUAGUAUACAUAUCUACGGCUGCGAUGUAAAUAUUUAAACUUUUGAAUUGUACUUAGACGUGACUAAACGAACCACUGCUCCCGUUGUUCAGUGGGAGUUUGUGAAAGUGAUCAUUCAAACGGGUAACUCUGAAACGCACAAAUCGCUAACGUAUAGAGGAAACAGCACGGUAUAGCAGUUCGACAUGGUUAGAAAGAAUCAGAAAUUUUAGAAUCGGCAGUUCAGCACAUCACAUGUCAGGUGUUUUAAAGACAGAGUAAGGGAGGCCAGGAAUAGUUGGCUUAAUCAUGUACACUGUUGGAAUAAUGAGUAUGAAGGUAGACAAGAUGUCGGGCUUAGGACUGCCGGGUAAGAAACCCAGAUUAAAUAUGUAAUGAAAGAGUGCAUGAAGUUAGUUUGAGACAAGGCAAUACAUUGGACAGAAAUUUAUGGAGCUUGAGGCAGAAUAUUUGCUUUAACUAA
Xenia sp. Carnegie-2017 is the source of this 1013-nucleotide long non-coding RNA. RefSeq lists it as uncharacterized. The transcript has 2 exons. The record is from RefSeq and is a predicted model, not a curated record. NCBI's taxonomy places the organism in Eukaryota, Metazoa, Cnidaria, Anthozoa, Malacalcyonacea, Xeniidae.